AUGUGACCUGCCUAAAGUCACACAGCAGCGACUGCCAAUGUCAAGACUUAGGUAGGAACCUGGCAUCCAAAUUUCUUGAGAAGGAAGUGAGCGGCGUGGGGAGGAGGGAGGACCUUCUGUCCCUUCCCCAUGUCAAGCCCCAGGCAGCCACUUUGAACUCCCUGGGCCCAGCCCAGCAGCCAAGGGGCCCUGGGUGCCGCCUGUGGCUUCUCCAUGGAGCUCCUGCACGCUAGCUCCUGGGGCUGGGCUCCAAGGUCCCCUCUCCCUCUGCAGCUUUCCAAGGAUGACAGUAAGGAAACUGUCAGGGAGGAGAGCUUCCCCCGUCCAUGUGUUUUCGCUUCAGCGUACAACCAAGCUAUUUCCUGGCAUCUGGGUUCAAUCGCAGGCGGAGGGUGCGCUGGUGGCUGUGGGGGAGGAGGGAGAGGACAAGGCAAGGGCUGGGCUUCCUGGUCCCGCUGCGGAUGUGCCCAGAGCUACGACGUGCCCUUGCCCUCGCCCUCCCCGGUCACCGCAGCCAAGUCCAGGAGGACAGCGGCAUGGAGCGAGGCCAGCCCAUGAUGCGGACAGCUGGGUGGCGGGGGUGGGAAUAAGUACCGGGGACGCAGAGCUGGGCCAGGUCGGUCUGUGUGGGAUGAUCGCUGGGGACAGGCUGGUUCUGCAGCAGAGGGCUGGGUCCUGACCUAGCGUCUCCUGGGCAGAGACUCCUCUCAGGAAGGAGUGAACACUACCCAUCGGCCUUCGAGCCUCAGGAGAGCUGUGCUUGGGUCUCUCUGGGGACUGGGCAGCUGGUUCAGCAAGACCUGCACUCCCCCUGGGAAACUGCUGCAGGCUCAGAGCUGAGUCUGGGCUACCCCAGAGGGCAGCUGAGCCUAUGCCCCAGGUCUGUUCUCUCCCCACCAUAGCUGCCCCCCGGGUCCACAGAGCUCGGGGGUAAGGCCAGCUCACUCUGGGAGGCUGUGUCUGUCUUGCUUUACUGUAAAAACUUUGACCCAGUGACCCUGAACCACGGACCUUACCAGACCGUGCACACCUGGCCCUCCUCGUCCUGGAGUGGGCCCCCCAGGC
Molecule: long non-coding RNA, 1065 nt
Filed under: Marmota monax (woodchuck)
Lineage: Eukaryota; Metazoa; Chordata; Mammalia; Rodentia; Sciuridae
Source: RNAcentral